GACGAACGCUGGCGGCAUGCCUAACACAUGCAAGUCGAACGGAACUUGUUGAAUGAAGUUUUCGGAUGGAUUUCAGCAAGUUUAGUGGCGGACGGGUGAGUAACGCGUGAGAAUCUGCCCUUAGGACGGGGACAACAGCUGGAAACGGCUGCUAAUACCCGAUGUGCCGAGAGGUGAAAUGAUUUAUUGCCUGAGGAUGAGCUCGCGUCCGAUUAGCUAGUUGGUGGGGUAAGAGCCUACCAAGGCGACGAUCGGUAGCUGGUCUGAGAGGAUGAUCAGCCACACUGGGACUGAGACACGGCCCAGACUCCUACGGGAGGCAGCAGUGGGGAAUUUUCCGCAAUGGGCGAAAGCCUGACGGAGCAAGACCGCGUGGGGGAAGAAGGUCUGUGGAUUGUAAACCCCUUUUGACAGGGAAGAAGCUCUGACGGUACCUGUCGAAUCAGCCUCGGCUAACUCCGUG
RNAcentral lists this ribosomal RNA (463 nucleotides) under uncultured bacterium. Its description in RNAcentral is "bacterial SSU rRNA". It matches the Rfam family "Bacterial small subunit ribosomal RNA", at positions 28 to 507 of the family's 1533-position model. The record is from RNAcentral.